Molecule: signal recognition particle RNA, 275 nt
Filed under: Chlorocebus sabaeus (green monkey)
Lineage: Eukaryota; Metazoa; Chordata; Mammalia; Primates; Cercopithecidae
Description: Metazoan signal recognition particle RNA
Rfam family: Metazoan signal recognition particle RNA
About the family: The signal recognition particle (SRP) is a universally conserved ribonucleoprotein. It is involved in the co-translational targeting of proteins to membranes. The eukaryotic SRP consists of a 300-nucleotide 7S RNA and six proteins: SRPs 72, 68, 54, 19, 14, and 9.
Source: Rfam by way of RNAcentral
GCCGGGCGCGGUGGCUCAAGCCUGUAAUCCCAGCACUUUGGGAGGCCGAGAUGGGCGGAUCACGAGGUCAGGAGAUCGAGACCAUCCUGGCUAACACGGUGAAACCCCGUCUCUACUAAAAAAUACAAAAAAAAAAAAACUAGCCAGGCAAGGUNNNNNNNNNNACCUUGCCUGGCUAGUUUUUUUUUUUUUUUUUAUUUUUUAGGAGAGACGGGGGUUUACCGUGUUAGCCAGGAUGGUCUCGAUCUCCUGACCUCGUGAUCCGCCCGUCUCGG